AUGAAUUCUGCACACGUGUGGGUGCUGAUGGCUGCUUUGAGCCUUGGAAAUAGUGAGCAAAGGGUAAACCAGCCGACAGGGGAUGUGCACGAUGUGGAGGGCGCGACAGUGACGCUGGACUGUAGCUACAAUAGCUUACAGGGCAACGAUUAUGUUUUCUGGUAUAAACUGGAAGGAAACGCAGCACCCGACUUUGUUUUGAGCGUCUCUCAGUAUGGUCAUCCCAAGUAUGGGGAUAAGUACUCCGACAGGUUAAACUCCAGCAUAAAUGCCAGUGCCCGGCGAGCUCCUCUGCAUAUCAAGUGGUUAAAGCAGAACGACUCAGCAAUCUUCUUCUGUGCCCUGCAGCCCACACUGACACAUCCACUUCUGUGCCAGUACAAAAACACCUGCAUCCGAUCCAGAGGUCACAUGGAAGGUGCCGUUCACUGUGACAACUCACAAGAAUAA
Molecule: non-coding RNA, 450 nt
Organism: Nerophis lumbriciformis (worm pipefish)
Lineage: Eukaryota; Metazoa; Chordata; Actinopteri; Syngnathiformes; Syngnathidae
Source: the annotation of a RefSeq genome assembly